RNAcentral lists this ribosomal RNA (254 nucleotides) under uncultured bacterium. RNAcentral's name for it is "partial 16S ribosomal RNA". It matches the Rfam family "Bacterial small subunit ribosomal RNA", at positions 524 to 776 of the family's 1533-position model. The record is from RNAcentral.
CACGUAGGGUGCAAGCGUUGUCCGGAAUCAUUGGGCGGAAAGAGCUCGUAGGCGGCUUAGUAAGUCGGGUGUGAAACCUCCAGGCUCAACCUGGAGACGCCACCCGAUACUGCUAUAGCUAGAGUCCAGUAGGGGAGUGCGGAAUUCCCGGUGUAGCGGUGAAAUGCGCAGAUAUCGGGAGGAACACCAGCGGCGAAGGCGGCACUCUGGGCUGGUACUGACGCUCAGGAGCGAAAGCGUGGGUAGCGAACAGG